UACGGAGGGAGCUAGCGUUGUUCGGAAAUACUGGGCGUAAAGCGCACGUAGGCGGCGCAGCAAGUCAGGGGUGAAAUCCCGGGGCUCAACCCCGGAACUGCCCUUGAAACUGCAGUGCUAGAAUCUUGGAGAGGCGAGUGGAAUUCCGAGUGUAGAGGUGAAAUUCGUAGAUAUUCGGAAGAACACCAGUGGCGAAGGCGGCUCACUGGCCCGGUACUGACGCUGAGGUGCGAAAGCGUGGGGAGCAAACAGG
Molecule: ribosomal RNA, 253 nt
Filed under: uncultured bacterium
Lineage: Bacteria
Description: partial 16S ribosomal RNA
Rfam family: Bacterial small subunit ribosomal RNA
Source: RNAcentral